Long non-coding RNA from Herpailurus yagouaroundi (jaguarundi), 262 nucleotides. RefSeq lists it as uncharacterized. NCBI's taxonomy places the organism in Eukaryota, Metazoa, Chordata, Mammalia, Carnivora, Felidae. The transcript has 2 exons. The record is from RefSeq and is a predicted model, not a curated record.
GGACAGAGUGGCUGGUAGGGGGGGCUGGCGUGGGGUAGGGGGGAAGACACCACCUAAUGCCUCACCUAGUGCUCCUACCCAUCAUUUUUUAGGGAUCUUGUAUGAUCAUUUGUCCUAUAUCCCACUUGGAUAUGUCCUAUAUACAGAAUCUUGUAUAAUAUCUAUCUUAUAUACAUGUAUCUUAUAUCAUAUCAGUAUCAUGGACAGAGUCCAAUCUUAACUCUGCCAGUAAUAAAUAAAAGUAAAAUCUUUGUGCUAAGUA